GCGCCUGGCUGGCCCAAGAGCCCGGUCCAGCUACGCGCGCCUGAUUCCAGGCGUCAUAACCAACCCGGGGCCGCGAGGCUGGGAUCAGGCACCCCGGAGCCGCUUGCCCGUGGCCGAGCUGCUCUCCCCAUCUAGGCCAAGCACCACCAGUCGCGGCGCUGUGCUUUCCGCCGAACUCCCAGAGCGUCCCGCCGUCGCCGGCGGCCAGGCCUCGCGCAGGACCAAUAUGGCGCCGCCCUGCUGUUGCUGGAGGGCGCCGGAGGCCUCCGUCCCCCGCCCAGGCUUCCGGCUCUCGGGGCUGCCGCCCUUCCUCCCGCGCUCUAGUCCUUCCCCGGCUCCCGAGCUCCCGAGCUUCCACCACGUCGGCCGGCUCAGGACGGGGUUUCCACUGUAAAGUCUCCUGCCAGGGGUGUUGGAGCUCACCGGAUUUGUCCCCGGUGCCUUAUUUAGUUCACUUGGUGAGGUCAUGUUUUCCUGGUUGGUGUUGAUGCUAGUAGAUGUUCUUCAGUGUCUGGACAUUAAAAUCUUGGCCAUGCAGCACCAUAUGAGAGGUUUAAAAAAUAAAAUUAAAAAAGAGAAAAG
RNAcentral lists this long non-coding RNA (582 nucleotides) under Pongo abelii (Sumatran orangutan). RNAcentral's name for it is "lincRNA". The record is from RNAcentral. Lineage: Eukaryota; Metazoa; Chordata; Mammalia; Primates; Hominidae.